Molecule: ribosomal RNA, 289 nt
Filed under: uncultured Rhodospirillaceae bacterium
Lineage: Bacteria; Pseudomonadati; Pseudomonadota; Alphaproteobacteria; Rhodospirillales; Rhodospirillaceae
Description: partial 16S ribosomal RNA
Source: RNAcentral
CUACCCGGGUUUCUAAUCCUGUUUGCUCCCCACGCUUUCGCGCCUCAGCGUCAGUCUCGGUCCAGAGCGCCGCCUUCGCCACCGGUGUUCUUCCCAAUAUCUACGAAUUUCACCUCUACACUGGGAAUUCCACGCUCCUCUCCCGAACUCCAGCGAGCCAGUCUCGAGCGCACCUCCCAGGUUGAGCCCGGGGCUUUCACACUCGACUCGGUCCGCCGCCUACGCGCCCUUUACGCCCAGUAAAUCCGAACAACGCUCGCCCCCUUCGUAUUACCGCGGCUGCUGGCAC